RNAcentral lists this long non-coding RNA (22725 nucleotides) under Sorghum bicolor (sorghum). Its description in RNAcentral is "long non-coding RNA (SBIC_LNC010638)". The record is from RNAcentral. Lineage: Eukaryota; Viridiplantae; Streptophyta; Magnoliopsida; Poales; Poaceae.
GACCUCCACUCUAUCUCUCUCAAUCUAGUAGAAACUAGAAGAUCUAUUUCUACUUUACAUUGGUUGCUAAGCCUAAAAAGAAAUAUUAUUUAGAGAAGAGGUUUUCCUUCGAGGGCACCCCUCAAUCUCUAUGAUAAUUUCUUAUCUCCUCCAGGGGCCAGAGGGGGUCUCCUUAUAUAGUCCUCCCCUUCUAUGCGUUUUUGGGUCGAUAGGCGAGGUGGUACUAUGUUAUUCUGGAUCCAAUAGGUCGGUGGAACGUCGUGUGCGAAGAGAGUCCGGAACGGAGUCCAGAGGGGGGAGGGCGCCCAGGUCCUUCCCGUGGCUUCUGGAGUCUUCUAGAUGGUAGAAAAUUGCGCGGUGGGUUGAUAUCUCUAUGUAAUCCCGACAUGUCGGCCUUUCUUCCUUAUUUCCUGAUAACCCCCUGCAGAAAUAGACAAACACCAAAACUCGUGGAAUUCUGUCAGAUAAAACCCUAAGUCUAGAUGUUGAUUUCAUUUGGAUCCUUUUCUUUGUUUAUUUGAUAAUUAAAUUUGAUACUUAAGGACCGUCAACAAACUCCCCCAAGCUUACCUCUUGCUCGUCCAUGAGCAAGGAUGAACUCAAGAGUUUCUGCAGUGGUUUCAUUUCUUAGAAGUACACACGCAUUUAAGCAAGAUCUCAUCUCUGAGUUAGAAUAAACUGUUAAGACUUAAAACUUACUUAGUUUACCUACACCAUAGGACUUGUAACCGUCACUUCUGUCUUGAGUGGUUAAAAGGUAGAACAGUCUAGCCAAGUGCCAAGUCUCUUAUUCUUGAUCAGCUACAGCUCUGGGGUUUUUGCAGAUUUUCAAAUAAAACUCAGAAAUUCCUUGUAUGAUUCUCUCAGGUCUCUCUUUUGUGGUAUUUUUGGAUCCUUACCAAGACAGUGAUGGUAUAUGCCUUCUCUCAAAAUAUGUAGUAUUUGUGGUAUGAAGCAUAGUGUCAUUGUCUUCUCUCUCACCCUACUCUAAUAAGGCUUUAAUAUCUGGAGCUCAUAGGUGGGAGAUAAAGUAUACAUACUUACAAGACAUUUAUUGCAUAGUCAAACCAUGGAUGCAAAGAAACAAAUCAAUAAGCCAAAUCAAGAUGUGCAUGUGUGGGGAAUGAAUGGUGUAUGGUGAUAAUGGUGAUAACAAUGGUGGUGGAAGUCUAAUUCUACUUUGCUCUUUGAGGGGAUACACACCUUCCUUGCUUUUGAAACUUUAUGAGGAGAAUGAGAUGCUCUUCUUUUUCUUUUCUUUCGAGGUUCCGAGCACUUGCUCCUUUUUAUUUCCUCGUAUCUUUUAUUUUCUUUUUCUCUUUUUUUUUCAGAGCAUUCAUCUCUUGAGAUAAUAUAGCAAGUGGUAGUAACAAGAUAACUUGAGCAUUUAUUUCACAAGGGGAAACAGAAAUAUUUUUGGUUAUUCUCUCCCGGAUUAGGAGUAGAAUACUUUUGGGUGGUUUUGGAGAUGGAAAUGAGUGGAUAUAUGUGGAUGGUACUUCUGGAGUAGAAGUAGCAUGUGUGAGUGAACGUGCAAGUGAAUCUUGAUUUAACCACAUGACAAGCUCCUAAGGGUCUACACAGCUUGACCACACUCAAUGCUCAUAAGCAGUAAAUAGUAAAUGUGUGGCUCAAGGUCUAGCAAGCAUGUAUAUAUGGCUAUGGUAGGAAUUUAAACUCUCAUCAUAAAGGAACUCAUCAUGCAACAUUUUAAAGAUUUUCAAAGAUAAAAUUCUCCAGAAUUCUAGCAUCUCUAGGAACAGAUAAACAGCAGCUCAACCUUCCCAUAUCGUAUCCGUUAACAACUUAGACUUCAGAUCAAGUUUUCAUCCCACAAGUUUUGGUCUAGAGCAAGCCUUAAAUUAUAACAGUUAUAUCUAAACUUGAGAGAGAACUUCAAAUUUGCAAAUUAGGCAGAGCAACUAUUCAUCAUAUCCAUGCUUAAGUUUUAUUAGAUAUAGAUUAGCAUAGCCACUUUAUUUAUUUAUUAAACAUACUAAGCAAAAUAUAUAUAAGCAUAAAAUCUUUAUUUGGUUUUUUAUAGUUAUGUGUAUUUAUAUUCUAAUAUAGUAUAAGUAUAAAGAUAGAUAGAAAUACUUAUCGAGAUAAAUGGGGGUGCUCUCCCCCAAGCUGGAUUUUCACGUAAUUUCUCUUGAUGUAGCUAGCAGGUGGCAGAGGUGUGUUUGAAAGUCAGCAGUAUUUUGACAGCGAUUAGAAUGUCCUCCGUCUGCUAGUCUUCUUGAUUCUUAAAUUCUGUGGAGCUCAAAUAGACAACAAAGCUUGUGGAACUGAUUAAGUGUUAGCAUAAAUAUCUAGCCUUUAUCAUGUUGAGACUCCUUAAUAAAUAUUACUCCCUAUUUUUAUAUUUUUGUUUUUAUAAAGCAGAAAAAUAUUUAUUUUAUUUUUAUGCCACCACAGUGAAUGUACUUAUGGGUUUUAUGCCACUCGUCUACUCACAUGGGGCUUACAGUUUUUUUCACAUUUUUAUUUUCUUUCUAGGAUGAUACGAACAUGAUUAACUAAGUAAACUAUUUGAAAUAAUUAAAAGGGAAAGGAUAACUACCAAGUUUACCUCUUGACAAGGCGUUCGGUGUUUUUAAGUCCUCCGAGCGGGACUCUCCAUUUUCUUAAUCGUCCUGAGGUUCGUUGGGUGGCGUAGUCGGUACUUCCGGCAGCGCCUCCUCUUCAUUUAUAACUAUCUUCUCUCUCCACACCUAACUCGGUGCUACGGUCUCCUCAGGACAAUGUUCAAGUGGUAUGUCUUCAGUCCUUAUCACUUCUCCUUCAUAGUCUACCCAUCCGUCCUUGAUGAUUUGCCUCCUCUGGUUGCGGUUGCGAUGUCUUCUUCUUGUCCUGACCUGCUUAGAGUCUUCAACUAUAUAGUUAGGGUCAGUAAAACAGCGGCAUACCUUCUCAGAGGAGAAGUGUAUGUGGACUUCUCCGGUUCCAAUAUAGAUGAUGGCUUUGAUAGUGCUGAGGAACUGUCUUCCAAGGUUGGUGGGUGGAUCAUACUCGUCUUCUCCCAUGUCAAUGACCUGAAAAUCAUCUAUAGCUGAAUGUAUAUUGGUUGUAGGGGCAUGGUUUCAUGCAGGAGCUGAUAAGUGACUACGACCAUUAUGUUGACGUCAGAUCCGGUGUCGUAGAGUGUCUUCUGAAAAGAGUAUCUGUUGAUUGUGUACUCAAUGCUUAGAACACCAGGGUCGUCCUUCUUGAACUGCAGUGACCAUCUUAGCUGACUCGGUCCACAUUUGCUUGUUCCUGUUCCUCCUGUUGGUCAUCUUCCUUGGUUCAUGUCGGGGUUGCUCUGAAGUUUGUGUAGUCUUGUUCUUGAAGGAAAGUCUCCUUCCUCCCCUUGAUGUAGAGACUGAUCUUGGCAGCAUUAACGUAGAUGACAGCUCUGGUGUUUAGGAAUGGCCUCCCUAAGAUGAUGGGUGCCCUCUCCUCAGUACCAGUCUCUAUCACCACGAAGUCUGCUAGAGCGUACAAGGUACCAACUCGGAUGCAGAGGUUCUUCAAUAUUUUCUUUGGGAAACUGAGUGUCCGAUCUGCAACCCUGGGCAUAAUGUUGACGCUGGAGCCAAAGUCGCAGAGUGCUUCUGGGAAGUCCACCAUGCCGAUGGAGAUCAGGAUGACGGGGCGUCCUAGAUCACCUCUCUGAGUAAUUAGGCCUCUAUUGAUUCCAACCUUGAUGUUGUUGAGGACGGUUGUAGUAAUAGUUGUUAUUGUUGUUGAUGUAGUUCACGUCCUCAAGCAUCUUAGGGCAGUGAUUGCCUGAGCGUCCAGUAUCUCCAGUGUGUUUGUGCUCGUAGAUCCUAGUUCUUCACUUGGUGGAAUCUGGGAGUUGUAAAACUCCUUCAUAUUAUGCUCGAAGUGUUCCUGCUCAUAGAGACAAGGUAGAGAUCAAGUGCAUGGGCCCUGUUGGUGGAAAACACCAACAGAACUAAAAGUGUAUUUGUUCUUCUCUAACCUUAAGCAUAGUGAGCAAGACAAAGUUGAUGGAUCAUGAGUGUAGCAUUUGUCAGAUCAGAUGGCUCAACCUAAUGGAAAGAUAAUCUAUCUAUAUUUAUGUUUUGUUUAUAUCUUCCAAAGAUUGCAUGUGCAAUACUUUAGCUUAUAUGAUUAGGAGUGUGGGGUCACGAAGGUAGUACUAAGAACAAAGAUUAAAGGACUAAACAUGUUGAAUUAAUUGAGUUGGUUAAUUUGGAGUUAUAAAUCAUACAUGUUUGUCUCUUUAUUUAUGUGAAUGCUAGAACCAAGGAGGAGCUUAUAAAAGUGUUAGUCAAGUACCUUAAGAUGUUACCUUACUUGAAGAGUAAUGGUACAGUAUCACCUUGUGGAAGCUUUCCUUUCUUAGCGGUUGUGCAUCGUGUUUGUGGCACCCUCCAUGAAUCAUCUCUUAUGAGCUACGUCUUUCUUGUGCAAAUUAUUAAACUUCAUGUGUCACUUUCUUCAUCUCUAAUGAGUUUGCAUCUCAGGACUUCCCAGGUUGAUAUUGAAAGUUUUCCUACAGGGGUUAGUCCAACAAAAUAUACCAAUAUCUACUCAAGUAGUUUUUAGUUCAGUAACCAAACUAGACUCCAUGUCUAAUCAGAUUAAGGAAGGCUAUUUAACCUAAGCACCACGCUUAAUUUAAAUGCCAUUGGAAGUGUGACCAGUACUUCCAAACUAACACUUACUAGGAUAAACAAAGGUAGCAUGAUAGCUUUUAUAGAGAUCUACUCAAAUGGAGAUGAAGUAGUGUGAUUAGUAUUUAACAAAUUGAGCAUGUCUCAAAGGUAAGGACAACCAACAUAGCAACAUGGCAAAGGAUGUUUUAUGUAAAGUACUCCCCCAAGCUUGAAUUUUGCAAAAUUCAAGGUUGAAUGAAUUUAAUUUAAUGCUGCAUGAUGAUUGGUUGGGCAUACCUUGCGCUUGUCAUUCAUCCGAUCUUCUUACUCCAAUCCUAGAAAGGUUAGUGGCAAGAAUACCCAAAGGAAUAUUUCUACAAUUAUCUUUAUAUGCUCAAUACACAAGGCAAUGUUGCAAAUAAUUAGAAGUGCUUGUUUUAGGACACUAAGCCUGUCCUUGGGAAACCAUCAAUUAACUCAACGAGAUCUACAAUAUUUAUUAUAGACAUAUGCAUCGACAACCGCCCUUUUAAAGUUUUUAUAAAUAGAAAAGAAGAGGGGGUUGGAGAUCUCAAAUGUGGUAAGGAUGGAGAGACAAAUUGAUUGGAGAGAUGUUUUAUAUGAGCAAGGACUGGGUGAGGUAUUUAUGAAAUAACUUCCAUGCUCACUGUUGUUUCUCUCAUUCUCAAACUCCAAGGUUGAUUCUUCAUGAAUGUUUAAAAUUCCUCUAGGAUUGUCUCUCAAGUUUGUUUUAUCUAUCCAUUCAAUGGUGAUAGCACAUGGAUUUUUAAUGCCCUCUAGCCAUUGAUGUUGCUCUUCUCGAUCCUCCUUCUUAUGCAUGGGAUGUCUAGAGAGAUUCAUAGGAUUAUUGGGAGGUUCAAGAGAAAGAGCAUAGUAGAAUUUAUUAAGCUUAAGGAUGGGGUGGAUAGCCAAAUCAUGGGAUUGAAAUGUUUGGAAAUCAGCUAUUGAAACUUCCUCUCCUUGUAUGGGAGAUGAUUCCUUCUCUAUCUCUAAGAUUUUUCUAUGAAGACUAGUACAAGAAGGAUGUCCACAAAUGAAGACAUACCUUCCUUUACUAAUAGAUAAAGAAAGAAAGACUCUACCAAAGGUUAUAUUGUUAAGACGAAUGUGAAAAUAUUUAGGAAAAACAUGGUCUUGUAGGGCUAGGUCUAAACCAGAAUUUAUAGAAAGAUUAAAAGAUUCCCUAGGUGUAGCUAAAAGUGCAUUAUCUUCUUGAUUAAAAGAUAGGACCUCGGCUAUAGAAAAGGGUUGGUUUUGACCUAUUGCAAUCAACUCCGGACACAGAUCAUAAUUAGGGGCAGAACGUGUUGACUCCCAUGGUCUAUGGCUGGUCUCCGAAGGUGCAAAGAAUUUAAUAAUAGGUAUGGAAUUUGAGUUAUCCAUAAAGAUAAAAAUAAAAAGAUAAAAGAAUAAAAGUAUAAAAGUAUAAUACAAGAUAAUAGCAAGACUCAAAGUUAUCUCAGCAAACCGUCUUUCUCCCCAGCAACGGCGCCAGAAAUGCUUGUUGAUAUUUGGUAACGCAAUUAGAAAAUGAUCCGCAAGCGCACGGAUAUCGGUGAGCAUUUCACCCGGGAGGUUAUCCAGAGUUAUCGUAUUUAUAUUUUUACCACUGGGAGAAAUGGUGCAUCUGACUAACCAAAUAUAUUGCUACUAUCCCUUUAGGCUACAAAGAAUGUCUCUCGAUGUGAGUGAUGUAUAGAGAAGACUGCAACCUUAGUCUCGUUCUAACCUUGGUAAGGAUGAUCUAUUGUUCUAUUGGGGAGGCUCACGGAAUCUAGACAACACAAAGGAUGUUCGACCCGCACCUAUAAACCUACCCGUCGUGCUAACGAGAUGUGAUCUGCAAAGGUAACUCGGAAAUGUCACGUUCCUCGCUACUACCACGGUCCAGCUAGUCAGGGGAUAUCUAUGAGUACCCUAGCCUAAACACCACGUUUACGCUAACAAGUGAUUACUCUAAUACUCAACCGGAAGAGGAUUAAAGUAAACUCAUAAACCAAAGAACAAUAAAACAAGAACUUACUAGUAUUAGAAGUCGAAUUACUGAAGAAUCUUAGAAGCAAGCCUCGGGUUAGGAGACUUGAUCCCGCAGGUACAACUCGGAGUAGACACCGACAGGCCGGCCUUCCUCCGAUCCACACCUCCACUCUAUCUCUCUCAAUCUAGUAGAAACUAGAAGAUCUAUUUCUACUUUACAUUGGUUGCUAAGCCUAAAAAGAAAUAUUAUUUAGAGAAGAGGUUUUCCUUCGAGGGCACCCCUCAAUCUCUAUGAUAAUUUCUUGUCUCCUCCAGGGGCCAGAGGGGGUCUCCUUAUAUAGUCCUCCCCUUCUAUGCGUUUUUGGGUCGAUAGGCGAGGUGGUACUAUGUUAUUCUGGAUCCAAUAGGUCGGUGGAACGUCGUGUGCGAAGAGAGUCCGGAACAGAGUCCAGAGGGGGGCGGGCGCCCAGGUCCUCAGGGCGGGCGCCCUGGGCCUGGCCCCUUUAGGGCUCCGCUUCCUUCCCGUGGCUUCUGGAGUCUUCUAGAUGGUAGAAAAUUGCGCGGUGGGUUGAUAUCUCUAUGUAAUCCCGACAUGUGGGCCUUUCUUCCUUAUUUCCUGAUAACCCCCUGCAGAAAUAGACAAACACCAAAACUCGUGGAAUUCUGUCAGAUAAAACCCUAAGUCUAGAUGUUGAUUUCAUUUGGAUCCUUUUCUUUGUUUAUUUGAUAAUUAAAUUUGAUACUUAAGGACCGUCAACAUACGUGUGCACACGUGUUGCUUUAACUUCUGAGUUUACGUAGAUUUGAUGCAAGCACUAGUGUUAACCCGACAAGAACUGCAGCGGCACGGCAUGCACAAGCUCACGAAGGUGAAGAACCCUAUUUUUUUGCCGUAAUUGUUGCCAUACUUUGUGCACUAGCAGAUGUUCUUUUUGAAGUUAAUUGUUACGUUCCUGAAACCAUUCAUGGAUUAGUAGUUCAAAUAAAAUGCAUAACACUCCAUUUAGUUGAUGUUAUUUUGGUCUUGCUCUGAAUUUCUUUUGUGUUAGUGCUUCAAUCACUAGUACAUUGGCACACUAUACAGGCGGUUGGUAACAUAUUUCUACAGGCGUUUUCCAGAUCCGCCUGCGCUGGAGCCCAGUUCAAAUCGCACAUUUACACACGCUUUCCUAAGAGAGCCGCCUGUGUAAACCUAUUAAAAUAUGUAUUAUUUAUUUAAUUAUUUAUUUUUUAAUUUAUCUAUUUAUUUAUUUAUUAUUUUAUUGUUAUUAUUUAAAUAUAUUGAUAUUGGUUGGUCUUCUAACAUAGCAACAUGUAAUUUAAAUACUUCAUCUCAUACAUACAUUUGUAUACAUCAAAGUUUGGUGCUCAAAGACAUAAAGUUAAUUACAAGAGUAUAUCCAUCAUCACACAUCAUAUAUAUAUACAUCAAAGUUUGUUUCUGUCCCCUAAUAACCCUCUUUAGUAAGUUUGAGCUUACUAAUCUCUGUUAGCACUCGGAACUCUGGCCUUGAUAAUUGGCUUUCAUCAUCAUGAUAUUUGCCUUCACGUGGAAUGACAUGCUUCAUGAUGAACGAGCAGAUGUCCUCAACUAUGUUGUCUAAAGCACGUUCGUCCAUGUGCUCCGCCGUCCCUUGCUUAUGUACCUGCAAAGAAAGUUUAUAAACAUUAUAUAUUUUAUGACUUCCAACUUUAAUAGACUAUUACUUAUAUUACCUUGUCAGGGUUCCUUGCAUAUCGUCCGUUUUCUCUCAUGUUCUCGCACACGUAGUAGCCACAGAGGACAGAUAACGGUGGUUGCUUCAUGCACUGUAUAAUACAGGAGAGUGGUUAUUUAAUUAUAGUUGCAACUGUGGUCGUAUGUGUAUGAUUUGUAUUCAUAAUAGUAAAUUUUUAUACGUACCGGCUAGUUAUGUAUAACCUCGAAUGGUUUCCCUGGUCUCUUGGACUCGCACUUUCCAUGAUUUAUCUUAUAGAACCUGUAUGCCCUAUGAUCUCAAAUAGAAUCACCAUGUUAUUGUCAAAUUCUCACUAUGCUUAAGUAUGCAUGCAUAACUUGACUUACAACUCUAGCAGUUUGAUGAAUGGAGCAUAGCUUUCUUUCGCGUAAUCUGCGGAGUCUAGUACCAACACCCUUCCCUCCUUGGGAUAAAUGAUGAAGCAUAUCCAGUGCCUCCUGCUCGAAUUAAAUCCAUGAUGCAUUUAUGCAUUGAAAUAAUUUAGAUAGAUAUUUGUAAACUCACACUUACCCAAAGUAGUACGGGGCCACCACUGCUUUCCUGUCUUGAAACUUUAUUAGUGAAUGUCCAAUGUAGAAGGCGUAUUUUGCUUCAAAAUCAAGUUUCAACUUUCGGAGUUUCUCAUCCCGUUCUGCACCUUCCAAACCCUGUACCUCUUUGCUGUCAUUCCCAAUCCGGAAUGUGUGCCGAUCUUCGGCUAUAUCUAUUGGGCAGAGAUAGAGAUUCCUUUCUUCAGCACAAUAAUUUAGGUCCGAACCAAAAUACAUAUCUUGUUGAUCAUGUAACAUUCUGCAAGACAGAAGCAUGUCAGAUAUUGAAAAUUGAUGCAACUACAAUGUGUGUAACUAUGUAACACUUACAAUGCAAAUGCUGUUACGAUCUGUACAUCUAGCAUCUCGUGGUUCAUCAGUGCCCACAUGUCAUCAAAUGUAAGCAUGCAUUUGUUAGUACUCUGGCUGAGAAAUGCUAUUUGUGGUAUGCGCAUGCUUAUGGUGUCGAUGCCAGCAGAAGAGGCUCACAUGUACCAGUCAUGAAACCUUUUUAUACCACUUGGUUUCUUCAUAAGUUUGGUCCGACUGAGUAGAGGCUUUCCCCACACGUACUUUUUGGGGAUAGUCUUGUAGUCUUCUGCAGUUGGCACCUUGAAAUUGACAGGAGUUAUGACCUUAGGCGCCGGCACCUCUGACUUUGCUAGCUCAGAAAUCUCAUGCUCUUGUAUUGUGCGUUUCGAAGCAAUGCCUGACAAAAAUCUCACUUGCCCAGCUGAUUUUUUCUUUGGCUCGAAUGGUGAAAUCAACUUAGGUAUCGGAAAUACUUUCUUCUUUGGCACUUUUGGUGGCUCACUUAUUGGUUCUGGAUCUUUGAGUUGUGGGGAAGGGGUGGAAUUGAAUGGUGGUGGAGAUUGUGUUGACUGUGGGGUAGAAAGAUCAUGGAGAGGAGAUGGUUGAUGGACAGGGAAAACAUGGAGAGGUGAUUCUGGUGGGUCAGGAAGAGACUGGGGAGGUGAAGGCGGUGGGUUAGGAAGAGGAUCGACAUGAGCUGACGACUCUUGGGUUAGUGGCAUCUCUUGAGAGGGUGGUGGUGGCUCCCUUAGUUGCACGUCCCUCCGAGGCCAUAGGAUGAAAUUGUUUAUCGCCUGUCCCAGUUUCACAAUGUCCUCGGGACCAGGGAUGUCUAGAAUCUCAUCCUCAUAUCCUUGGACCACGGUUGGUACCUCUACUCUGUAGUAGUCUUUAGGGAUGUCAGCACUGUUGGGUAUUCUUAACAUCAUUACCAAAAGUAGACUAAGUUCUAAAUCUAGCAACGGUGCCAAAAAUGCCAAACCUAUCCCUCACACCACUUAAGCCAAGUUGUCAUCCCCAGCAUGACAUGAGAGACGCGGUAUUGAAAUAUGCAAUUGCUCUUCUAAAUAAAUAAUGAAUGGGAUCUGCAAGCGCACAGAUUAAUACCGAUGCAGCAUUUUAACCGGGAAGUAUUCCAGGUAUCGUUAUUUAUAUUUUUACCACUAGGAAGGGAUUAGCAAUCAUCAUUAUUGAUUACAGAAUAGAAUAUGAGAUUGAGCAUCUAUCAUUGCAUGUAUAAUUGAGAACAUUUAUCUAACUCUUCACACAGAGAUAAGUGUCACAUAAAAGAUAUAUGAAAUAAUAAUAGUGACAAGGAUAACUAAUUUGAUCUAGCCACAUAAUAAAUAUGAUAAGCACCUCAAUUAGAUACUCUAGAAAGUCAUUAGCAUGGUUUUAGAACGAACUACAAGAAUAUUCCCUAAGUUAUUCUUAACUAUAUAGUCUAGCAUUAUCAUAAUUAGUGCAAGCUGUUGACGGUCCUUAAGUAUCAAAUUUAACUAUCAAAUAAACAAAGAAAAGGAUCCAAAUGAAAUCAACAUCGAGACUUAGGGUUUUAUCUGAUAGAAUUCCACGAGUUUUGGUGUUUGUCUAUUUCUGCAGGGGGUUAUCAGGAAAUAAGGAAGAAAGGCCCACACGUCGGGAUUACAUAGAGAUAUCAACGUGCCGUGCAAUUAUCUUACAUCUAGAAGACUCCAGAAGCCACGGGAAGGAAGCGGAGACCGAACGGAGUCAGGGACAGGGUGCCCGCCCAAGUCCUUAGGGCGCCCGCCCACCUUUUUCGGCCAAUCACGCUCAAUCUCGCGGAUUAUGCUCCACCGACCUAAAGGAUCAAGAAUAACCGUUCAAUCAAUGUCGGUUUGAUCCGACGGCCCAGGUUCACUUGAGGGGACUAUAAAACCAGACCCCCUGGCCCCUGGAGGAGGCACCCCCCUGAUCAUUAUUCAUUAUUCAUAGACAGAGCAAAAGCUAGGGUUUAGAGAUGAGAGCUCUCCUCUCUUCUCUAAACUAGAGUAGAACUAGAUAGUAGCGAGAUGGAGAGCGAAGGAGGAUUAGAGGAGAGGCCGGCCUGUCGGUUCUUCCUCCGGUUGUACUUCGCCAUGAUCAAGCUCUAAUCAAGCUUGCUCAUGGGAUGACUCUGGUAAUCUACUUCUAAUUCAUUAUGCAAUUACUAAUCAUGUAUAUUCUGGUUCACAACUCUUUUGAGUACUUCUAAUCUAUAGGACCCUAUAGGUUAGAGUUGUAGUAUAGGUGUAAGCGUGGUGCUUAGACCUAGAUUACUUGUGGAUAUCCCCUGACUAGCUGGAUCGUUUGGUAGGCCGCGUAGGUGACAGUUACGUUGGUCCCCUGUAGUCCACCUCUCGUUAGCAGGACGGGUAGGGUUUAUCGGCCUAAGGAUAAGCAUCCUUUGUGGUGUACUCUUAUCACGUGGUUCGUCCCAGACAUAGACAUACCCCUUUGAAGUAGAGAAACCAUAGUUAUCCUCUCUAUUCUGCUACCAUCGCCCAUAUACUAGAAUUUCUCUAUUCUCUAUUCCCAUAUUAUCACUCACUGUUAUCUUACCUUUAAUAUUGUUCUUAUUUGAUUCUAUCAUCUUUCCUAUUUACACCUAUCUAUCUAUCUUGGUUAAGUUAGAGUGUAGUUGGUUCUCCCGUUUCCCUGUGGAUACGAUAAAACCUUUAACCGGGUAAAAGCUUCAACGGUAUCCGUGCGCUUGCGGAUUAUCUGUGUGCGUAUAAAUACCAUAGUACACUCUAGUGCCAUGCUAGGGAUGACAACCUAGUAUUCAAGUGGUGUUAGCAAGUGUCAACAAGCAUUUUUGGCGCCGUUGCCGGGGAAACGGUUGCUGAGUUGACUACGAACUAGUUUAAUCAUUUUAUAAAAAAUAAAUAAAUAAAAAUAUAUAUAUAUAUUUUCCUUUUAUCCUUUGCCUCAUCUCUGCUAUUCUUUCUUCUUAUCUAAUCCUUGAUCUCUGGUCUAUUAUGAAUUCAAACAUGUCUAUCUAUGAAUUUCAUAGACCUAUGGGCACACAUCUCGAACCACCAAAAUCUUCAAAGCCUAUCAUAGCAUCUAGUUUUGAGAUAGACCCCGAAUACAUAGAAUUUAUUCAAAAACAACCUUUCUCAGGAAAAGGUGAGGAAAACCCAUACACACACCUAAGAGAGUUUUAUCGAGUCUGUGACCUCCUUCACAUAGAAGGCAUGUCCGAUGAGACCCUUAAAUGGAAGCUCUUUCCGUUCUCUUUAACGGGAAAAGCUAGACAUUGGUAUAAACUCAAAGUAGGGAGUGUUCAUGGAGAUUGGAAGGAUUUAUAUAGUAGUUUUCUUUCUAAAUAUUUUCCAAUCUCCAAAGUGGUGGAACUUCGGCAUGAGAUUCUUUCUUUUAGACAACUGGAAGAAGAAUCUCUUGGCAAAUCAUGGGACCGCUUUAUUAACCUUACUCUCACUGGCCCAAAACUUUCUAUUCCAGAAGAAGUUCUUCUAAUUCACUUUUUUGAGGGCCUUAGUAAGGAAGAUAAGCAAACCCUUCAUGCGGCCUCUGGAGGAUCUUUCCACCACCUAUCCGCUAGUGAAGCUUGGAAUUUGAUUGAUUUAAUGAGUGGAAAGUCUCCUAGCUUUUAUAUCCCUGAGAAAGAGAAAGAACCAGUUCCUAGACAAGAAGAAGAAGUUUCGAUAGCCAGAUCACAACCACUUCAAUCCCAAACUUUAGCUAUCGAUCCUAAACCAUCAAUACCCCAAAAUUCUCCAAGGGAGGAAGGAAUUCCGGCCUUAAAUCUUUUAGAUGCUGAUGGUUUAGACAUCUGGUUCUAUAAGAGACCUUCAAGCAGGGAUAAUUCAAAUCAUUGCAAUAAUGUUUCUCUUAGAGAAUGUCCUGGUUCCUGUUAUAAAGAAGUCGAGGAUGACAUAUCAAGUGAAGGAGAGCUAAGCCAUAUUGAAAAUUCUAACACCUCCCCUUUUCUGAUCACAAGUUCUAAAUGGUUAGAAUGUGUAGAAUGGAUGGAUAAGGAAGAAGCCUUAAUGGAUUCUGACUUUGGCUCAAUUUCAAAUGGUGAGUUCUUGACUCCCUUUGAAGAUGAGAUUCAUCCAACUAUAGAAGAGGACAUAAGUGAGACCAAUCCAAGAGAAACUCUGAACAUUCAGAUUGGAGAUGAAGAUAACAUUAAUGAGCAUGGAAUUUAUUUCAUAGCCACUUUGUUUACUCCAUGCUCAUAUGCAACAUCUUCCCAAUCUAUUGGUCUCUCCGACAUCACCACACUUGAGAUCUCCAACCCCCUCUUCCUUUCUAUCUAUAAAAACUUUAAAAAGGCGGUUGUCGAUGCAUAUGUCUAUAAUAAAUAUUGCAGAUCUCGUUGAGUUGAUCUAGAUAUAGGUUGGCGUCGGAGGGGAAACCACUUCGCCAACAUAAACUGAUGGUUUCCCAAGGACAAGCUUAGUGUCUUAAAAUAAGCAUUGAUCAGAUCGUAACAUGAGCUUUUAAUUAUUUGCAACAUUACCUUGUGUAUUGAGCAUAUAAGGAUAAUUGUAAAAAAAAUAUUCCUUCGGGUAUUCUUGUCACUAACCUUUCUAGGAUUGGAGCAAGAAGAUCGGAUGAAUGACAAGCACAAGGUAUGUCCAACCAAUCAUCAUACAACAUUGAAUUAAAUUCAUCCAAACUUGAAUUUUGCAAAAUUCAAGCUUGGGGGAGUACUUUACAUAAAAACAUCCUUUGCCAUGUUGCUAUGCUGGUUGUCCCUACCUUUGAGACAUGCUCAAUUUGUUAAAUACUAAUCACACUACUUCAUCUCCACUUGAGUAAAUCUCUAUAAAUGCUGUCAUGCUACCUUUGUCUAUUUACUAGCAAGUGUUGGUUUGGAAGUACUCGCCAUACUUCCAUUGGCAUUUAAAUUAAGCAUGGUGCUUAGGUUGAAUAGCCUUCCUUAAUCAGAUUAGACAUGGAGUCUAGUUUGGUUAUUGAACUAAAAAAACUGCUUGAGUAGAUAUUGGUAUAUUUUGUCGGACUAACCCCUGCAGAAAAACUUUCGAUAUCGAUUUAGGAAGUCCUGAGAUAAACUUACAUCAGAGACGAAGAAAGUGACACAUGAAGUUUAACAAUUAGCACAAGAAGGACAUAGCUCAUUCAUCAUAGAGAGAUGAUCCAUGGAGGGUGCCACAAACACGAUGCACAACCGCUAAGAAUGGAAAGCUUCCACAAGAUGAUACUGUACCAUCACUCUUCAAGCAAGGUAACAUCUUAAGGUACUUGACUAUCACUUUUAUAAGCUUCUCCUUGGUUCUGGCGUUCAUAUAAAUAAAAGAGACAAACGUGUAUGAUUUACAACUCUAGAUUAACCAACCCAACUGAUUCAACAUGUUUAGUCCUUUAAUCCUUGUUCUUAGUACUACCUCCAUGAUCCCACACUCCUAAUCAUUUGAGCUAAAAUGUUACACAUUCAAUCAUUGAGAGAUAUAAAGAAAAAGAUAUGUACAUAAAUAGAUUAUCUUUCCAUAAGGUUGAGCGAUCUGAUCUGACAAAUGUUAUAAGUGCUACACUCAUGAACUUAUCAUCCAUCAACUUUGUCUUGCUCACUAUGCUUAAGGUUAGAGAAGAACAAAUACACUUUUGGUUCUGUUGGUGUUUUCCACCAACAGGGCCCAUGCACUUGAUCUCUGCCUUGUCUCUAUGAGCAGGUACACUACGAGCACAAACACACUGAGCAAGAUACUGCUAACACCGCACUUCGAACUGCUGGGCAAACGAAGAACAUGGGUGACACCGUAUUAAAAGGUGCAGACGUCAAGGUCCGCACCUGAAUCAAAUGACGCACCUGAAGAAUGAACACGGUGAGAAGUCUUGUCAAGAAGACUUAAAACAUUACACCCUCGCCGAAAGGUAAGAUUGGUAGUUAUCCAUAUUUAUCCUUUCUGCAUUCCCUUUUCCCUUUAAUUAUUUACUUUCCUUAAAUACAUUUUUGGUUAAUCAUGCUAUCUUGAAAAGAAAAUAAAAAUAUUAAAAAAUACUAAGCCCCAAGUGAGUAUACGAGUGGCAUAAAACCCAUAAGUACCUUCACUGUGGUGGCAUAAAAAUAAAAUAAAUAUUUCUUUUUUACUUUAUAAAAUAAAAAUAUAAAAACAGGGAGUAAUAUUUAUUGAGGAAGCUCAACGUGAUGAAGGCUAGAUAUUUAUGCUAACACUUAAUUAGUUCCACAAGCUUUGUUGUCUAUUUGAGCUCCACAGAAUUUAAGAAUCAAGAAGACUAGCAGACGGAGGACAUUCUAAUCGCUGUCAGAAUGCUGCUGACUUUUAAAUACACCUCUGCCACCUGCUAGCUACAUCAAGAGAAAUUACGUCAAAAUUCAGCUUGGGGGAGAGCACCCCUAUUUAUCUCGCUAAGUAUUUCUACCUAUCUUUAUACUUAUAUUAUAUUAGAAUAUUAAUAUACAUAAACUAUGAAAAACCAAAUAAAGAUUUUAUGCUUAUAUAUAUAUAUAUAUCUUCUCUUAGUUUGUUAAAUAAAUAAAUAAAUAAAUAAAUAAAGUUUGCUAUGAAUCUUAAUAAUAAAACUCUAGCAUGGAUAUGAUGAAUAGUUGCUCUGCCUAAUUUGCAAAUUUGAAGUUCUCUCUCAAGUUUAGACAUAACUGUUAUAAUUUAAAGCUUGCUCUAGAUCUAAACUUGUGGGAUGAAAACUUAACCUGAAAUCUAAGUUGUUAACGGAUAUGAUAUGGGAAGGUUGAGCUGCUGUUUAUCUGUUCCUAGAGAUGCUAGAAUUCUGGAGAAUUUUAUCUUUGAAAAUCUUUAAAAUAUUGCAUGAUGAGUUCCUGUAUGAUGAAGUUUAAAUUCCUACCACAGCCAUAUAUACAUGCUUGCUAGACUUUGAGCCACACAUUUAUUUACUGCUUAUGAGCAUUGAGUGUGGUCAAGCUGUGUAGACCCUUAGGAGCUUGUCAUGUGGUUAAAUCAAGAUUCACUUGCACGUUCACUCAUAUAUGCUACUUCUACUCCGGAAGUACCAUCCACAUAUAUCCAUCCAUUUCCAUCUCCAGUUUCACCCAAAAUCAUUCUACUCCUAAUCCGGGAAAGAAUAGCCAAAAACAUUUUCCUAUCCCUGUUAUUCCCUAUGAAAUAAAUGCUCCAGUUAUUUUGGUUACUACCACUUGCUAUAUUAUCUUAAGAGAUGAGUGCUCUGAAAAAAAAAAGAAGAAAAAAAAAGAGAGAAAAGAAAAAAAAAUAAAACGAGGAAAUAAAAAGGGGCAAGUGCCCGGAACCUCGAAAGAAAAGAAAAAGAGUGAGACGAGAAGUAAAAAUGGACAAGUGUCCGACAGUAGAAUUAGGGGUACAGGAUACCCAUCUGAGAGAAAAGAAAAAGAAGAGCAUCUCAUUCUCCUCAUAAAGUUUCAAAAAGCAAGGAAGGUAUGUAUCCCCUCAAAAGAGCAAAAGUAGAAUUAGACUUUCACCAUUGUUAUCACCAUCAUCACCAUACACUAUUCAUUUGCCACACAUGCACAUCUUGAUUUGUCUUAUUGAUUUGUUUCUUUGGAUCCAUGGUUUGACUAUACAAUAAAUGUCUUGUAAGUAUGUAUAUUUUAUCUCCCACCUAUGAGCUCCAGAUAUUAAAGCCUUAUUAGAGUAGGGUGAGAGAGAAGACAAUGUCACUAUCCCUUAUACCACAAAUACCACAUAUUUUGAGAGAAGGCAUAUACCAUCACUUCCUUGGUAAGGAUCUAGAAUUACCACAAAAGAGAGAUAUGAGAGAGUCAUACAAAGGAAUCUCUGUGUUUUAUUUGGAAAUCUGCAAAAACUCCAGAGCUAUAGCUGAUCAAGAAUAAGCGACAUGGCACUUGACUGGACUAUUCUAUCAUUUAACCACUCAAGAAAGAAGUGACUGUUACAAGUCCCAUGGUGAAAGGUAAAGUAAGUAAGUUUUAAGUCUUGACAGUUUACUCUAACUCAGAGAUGAGACCUCAUUUAAAAGCAUGUGUACCGUCAAUUUUUAAAGAUAUUGCAACAACUUAUGAUCCAUAGCUGAGUCUAUCCUUGCUCAGGGACGAGCAAGAGGUAAGCUUGGGGGAGUUUGUUGACGGUCCUUAAGUAUCAAAUUGAACUAUCAAAUAAACAAAGAAAAGGAUCCAAAUGAAAUCAACAUCGAGACUUAGGGUUUUAUCUGACAGAAUUCCAUGAGUUUUGGUGUUUGUCUAUUUCUGCAGGGGGUUAUCAGGAAAUAAGGAAGAAAGGCCCACACGUCGGGAUUACAUAGAGAUAUCAACGUGCCGUGCAAUUAUCUUACAUCUAGAAGACUCCAGAAGCCACGGGAAGGAAGCGGAGACCGAACGGAGUCAGGGACAGGGCGCCCGCCCAAGUCCUUAGGGCGCCCGCCCACCUUUUUCGGCCAAUCAUGCUCAAUCUCGCAGAUUAUGCUCCACCGACCUAAAGGAUCAAGAAUAACCGUUCAAUCAAUGUCGGUUUGAUCCGACGGCCCAGGUUCACUUGAGGGGACUAUAAAACCAGACCCCCUGGCCCCUGGAGGAGGCACCCCCUUGAUCAUUAUUCAUUAUUCAUAGACAGAGCAAAAGCUAGGGUUUAGAGAUGAGAGCUCUCCUCUCUUCUCUAAACUAGAGUAGAUCUAGAUAGUAGCGAGAUGGAGAGCGAAGGAGGAUUAGAGGAGAGGCCGGCCUGUCGGUUCUUCCUCCGGUUGUACUUCGCCAUGAUCAAGCUCUAAUCAAGCUUGCUCAUGGGAUGACUCUGGUAAUCUACUUCUAAUUCAUUAUGCAAUUACUAAUCAUGUAUGUUGUGGUUCACAACUCUUUUGAGUACUUCUAAUCUAUAGGACCCUAUAGGUUAGAGUUGUAGUAUAGGUGUAAGCGUGGUGCUUAGACCUAGAUUACUUGUGGAUAUCCCCUGACUAGCUGGAUCGUGUGGUAGGCCGCGUAGGUGACAGUUACGUUGGUCCCCUGUAGUCCAACUCUCGUUAGCAGGACGGGUAGGGUUUAUCGGCCUAAGGAUAAGCAUCCUUUGUGGUGUACUCUUAUCAUGUGGUUCGUCCCAGACAUAGACAUACCCCUUUGAAGUAGAGAAACCAUAGUUAUCCUCUGUAUUCUGCUACCAACGCCCAUAUACUAGAAUUGCUCUAUUCUCUAUUCCCAUAUUAUCACUCACUGUUAUCAUACCUUUAAUAUUGUUCUUAUUUAAUUCUAUCAUCUUUCCUAUUUACACCUAUCUAUCUAUCUUGGUUAAGUUAGAGUGUAGUUGGUUCUCCCGUUUCCCUGUGGAUACGAUAAAACCUUUAACCGGGUAAAAGCUUCAACGGUAUCCGUGCGCUUGCGGAUUAUCUGUGUGCGUAGAAAUACCAUAGUACACUCUAGUGCCAUGCUGGGGAUGACAACCUAGUAUUCAAGUGGUGUUAGCAAGUGUCAACACAAGCAAACUUAGCAAUCAUUGUGAGACAAGACUACGCCCAUGCAUAGUGAUAUUAGCAAGGAAUAUGAGAAACAUAGCAAUCACUCCCCUAUAAUAAUGUUGCUCUGCCAGCCCAAUACAUGAGAGGGGGACUAUAUAAGAAUCAAUGAAGCUGUCACUAUUACGAACCACCCCACGAUCUGGCAUUGGGUACAAUCGCAGAUAAAUAUGGUAUAAGCACCACGCCUACACAAUAUCUAUCAUUUACCCAUGGAUCCGAUGGAUAAACGCUAUACGAUCCUAAGCAAAGUCAUAAGAAAUAUAUUGAAGUAGAACAAAGUCAUAUUCAUAAUAUUGAAGAACAAAGAUAAUUAGAAAGCAAUUACAAGCACAAUUAGAGAAUUACCAAGAAUCCUCUUGACAGAUCCGGAAACCAAUCGAAGAUUGACUCCUUCUAGUUCUAAUCCUAUGUAGCUAUGCUAAUCUAGAUGUCUAAUUGAUGUGGUUGCUCUAAUCUUGAUCAGAGGCUUCUUCUCCCUUGAUGGAACAAUGAAUUAGGGUUGAGAGGCUCUCUCCUCCAGGGGCCAGGGGGUCUGGUUUUAUAGUCCCUUCAAGUGAAUAUGGGCCCUUGGAUCAAACCGACAUAGAUUGUAUGGUUUAGAUUCAUCCUUUAGGUCGGUGGAGAUCUCCCGCAAAGCAGAGUCCUGAUUGGACUCCUGGAGGGGGCGGGCGCCCAGUAGGACAGGGCGGGCGCCCUGUCUCUGGCCCCGUUUCGCCUCCGCUUCGGUCUCGUGGCUUCUGGAGUCUUCUAGAUGUAAGAUAAUUGCACAGCACGUUAAUAUCUUUACGUAAUCCCGACAUGUGGGCCUUUCUUCCAUAUGUCGUGAUAACCCCCUGCAAAAAUAGACAAACACCAAAACUCAUGGAAUUCUGUCAGAUAAAACCCUAAGUCUAGAUCUUGAUUUCAUUUGGAUCCUUUUCUUUAUUUAUUUGAUAAUUAAAUUUGAUACUUAAGGACCGUCAACAAACUCCCCCAAGCUUACCUCUUGCUCGUCUCUGAGUAAGGAUAGACUCAGCUAUGGAUCAUAAGUAGUUGCAAUAUAUUUAAAAAUUGACGCUACACAUGCUUUUAAAUAAGAUCUCAUCUCUGAGUUAGAGUAAACUGUCAAGACUUAAAACUUACUUACUUUACCUUCACCAUGGGACUUGUAACUGUCACUUCUGUCUUGAGUGGUUAAAAGAUAGAACUGUCUAGCCAAGUGCCAUGUCUCUUAUUCUUGAUCAGCUAUAGCUUUGGGGUUUUUGCAGAUUUUCAAAUAAAACUCAGAGAUUCCUUGUAUGAUUCUCUCAGGUCUCUCUUUUGUGGUAUUUUUGGAUCCUUACCAAGGCAGUGAUGGUAUAUGCCUUCUCUCAAAAUAUGUAGUAUUUGUGGUUUGAGACAUAGUGACAUUGCCUUCUCUCUCACCCUACUCUAAUAAGGCUUUAAUAUCUGGAGCUCAUAGGUGGGAGAUAAAGUAUACAUACUUAUAAGACAUUUAUUGCAUAGUCAAACCAUGGAUCCAAAGUAACAAGUCAAUAAGCCAAAUCAAGAUGUGCAUGUGUGGCGAAUGAAUGGUGUAUGGUGAUGAUGGUGAUAACAAUGGUGAAAACAAUGGUGGUGGAAGUCUAAUUCUACUUUGCUCUUUGAGGGGAUACAUACCUUCCUUGCUUUUUGAAACUUUAUGAGGAGAAUGAGAUGCUCUAUAUUUUUCUUUUCUCUCAGGUGGGUAUCUUGCACCCCUAAUUCUACUGUCGGACACUUGUCCAUUUUUACCUCUCGUCUCACUUUUUCUUUUCUUUUGAGGUUCCGAGCACUUGCUCCUUUUUAUUUCCUCGUAUCUUUUUUUUAGAGGAUUCAUCUCUUGAGAUAAUAUAGCAAGUGGUAGUAACAAGAUAACUUGAGUAUUUAUUUCACAAGGGGAAAACAGAAAUAUUUUUGGUUACUCUCUCCCGGAUUAGGAGUAGAAUAUUUUUGGUUGGUUCUGGAGAUGGAAUGGGUGGAUAUAUGUGGAUGGUACUUCCGGAGUAGAAGUAGCAUAUAUGAGUGAACGUACAAGUGAAAUCUUGAUUUAACCACAUGACAAGCUCCUAAGGGUCUACACAGCUUGACCACACUCAAUGCUCAUAAGCAGUAAAUAGUAAAUGUGUGGCUCAAAGUCUAGCAAGCAUGUAUAUAUGGCUUUGGUAGGAAUUUAAACUCUCAUCAUACAGGAACUCAUCAUGCAACAUUUUAAAGAUUUUCAAAGAUAAAAUUCUCCAGAAUUCUAGCAUCUCUAGGAACACAUAAACAGCAGCUCAACCUUCCCAUAUCGUAUCCGUUAACAACUUAGACUUCAGAUCAAAUUUUCAUCCCACAAGUUUAGGUCUAGAGCAAGCUUUAAAUUAUAACAGUUAUAUCUAAACUUGAGAGAGAACUUAAAAUGUGCAAAUUAGGCAGAGCAACUAUUCAUCAUAUUCAUGCUUAAAUUUUAUUUAGAUACAGAUUAGCAUAGCCACUUUAUUUAUUUAUUAAACACACUAAGCAAAAGACAUAUAUAUAAGCAUAAAAUCUUUAUUUGGUUUUCCAUAGUUUAUGUGUAUUUAUAUUCUAAAAUAAUAUAAGUAUAAAGAUAGAUAGAAAUACUUAUCGAGAUAAAUGGGGGUGCUCUCCCUCAAGCUGAAUUUUGACGUAAUUUCUCUUGAUGUAGCUAGCAGGUGGCAGAGGUGUAUUUGAAAGUCAGCAGCAUUCUGACAGCGAUUAGAAUGUCCUCCGUCUGCUAGUCUUCUUGAUUCUUAAAUUCUGUGGAGCUCAAAUAGACAACAAAGCUUGUGGAACUGAUUAAGUGUUAGCAUAAAUAUCUAGCCUUUAUUAUCUUGAGACUCCUUAAUAAUUAUUACUCCCUGUUUUUAUAUUUUUAUUUUAUAAAGCAGAAAAAUAAUUAUUUUAUUUUUAUACCACCACAGUGAAUGUACUUAUGGGUUUUAUGCCACUCGUCUACUCACAUGGGGCUUACUGUUUUUCACAUUUUUAUUUUCUUUUUUAGGAUAAUACGAACAAGAUUAACUAAGUAAACUAUUUGAAAUAAUUGAAAUGAUUAAAAGGGAAAGGAUAACUUCCAAGUUUACCUCUUGGCAAGGCGUUCGGUGUUUUUAAGUCCUCCGAACGGGACUCUCCUAUUUCUUAAUCGUCCUGAGGUUCGUUGGGUGGCGUAGUCGGUACUUCCGGCAGCGCCUCGUCUUCAUGUAUAGUUAUCUUCAUUUUCCACACCUGACUCGGUGCUUCAAUCUCCUCUAGAUAAUUUUGUUUAAACUCUAUGUCUUCUGACCUUACAACUUCUCCUUCAUAGUCUGCCCAUCCAUCCUUGAUGAUCUGCCUCCUCGGGUUGCGGUUGCGUCUCUUUCUAACCUGCUUAGAUUCUUCAACAAUAUAGUUAGGGUCAGUAAAAUAACGGCGUACCUUCUCUGAGGGGAAGUGCAUAUGGACUUCUCCGGUUCCAAUGUAGAUAAUUGUUUUAACGGUGCCGAGGAACGGUCUUCCAAGGAUGAUGGGUGGAUCGUACUCGUCUUCUCCCAUGUCAACAACUUGAAAGUCUGUGUAGACAAAGUGAUCGUCUAUUUUGACUGGGACAUCAGAUACUAUUCCUUGAACUUCUCGAAAUGUCUGAUCUGCCAUCUGGAGCUGAAUGUAUGUUGGUCUUAGUGGCAUGGUUCCGAACAAGAGCCGAUAGGUGACUGCGGCCAUUAUGUUGACGCCUGAUCCGGUGUCGCAAAUCGUCUUGUAGAAGUUGUAUCCAUUUAUGGAGCAGUAGAUGCUUGGCAUUCCUGGGUCGUCCUUCUUAGUCAAAAACGGUGACUUAAGUUGGUGAUCUUGGCCUCCAUGAACUACAGUGACCAUCUUAGCUGACUCGGUCCACACUUGCUUGUUCCUGUUUCUCCUGUUGGUCCUCUUCUUUGAUUUACGUCUGGAUUGAUCUGGAAUUUGUGUAGUCUUGUUCUUGAAGAAAAAUGUCUCCUUCUUCCCUUUGACGUAGAAACUGAUCUUGGCAGCACUGGCGUAGAUGAUAGCUGCCGUGGUAUUCAAGAAUGGCCUCCCUAAGAUGAUAGGUGCUCUCUCAUCAUUUCCGGUCUCUACCACUACGAAGUCUGCUGGGGC